AACUUUGAGUGUAGUUCCACCCUUUUAUGGUCCUUGAUUUCUACUCUUCGCUCGUUUCAAAAUUUUACGAGUGGGUUUUUUUGGGGGAAAAGUGUAAAUUAUUUAUAAUGGUUAGUUCGUGCUCUUGCUUUGGAGACUCAUUCAGUUUCAAAAUGUUACGUUUUAAGUUUGGAAAAGCAUCAAUAGUUUGCAACCAUAAAAUUCCUCCUUUAAAAUGAUUAAAUUUGAUACUAGAGUUUUGAGACUGAACGAAACCUUUAAUCCACCUCAAAAGUUUACUUCUAGUCCCAGCGUUUGAAGACGAGGAGUGCAUUUUCACUCAGCAGCCGAGAAGGGCGGGUCAACUCUUCAGUAAUUUUCACCUAUCCAGCCUAAAUUUUAUCAUGAAGCAUUAAGUGACUAGUGUGACCGUUGGUCGAGGAUGAUCCUGCUUGGAAGUGCGAGCUCUUGGAUUGCUUCCUCUUUGAGACUACUAUACCAUGGAGUUACAGCAAGUUUACAUCGACUCGUGAAUUAACUACGACAGCUGCAAUUGACCUAGAGAGGCUUGCUUAGAGUGGAGAUCCUGAGGACUUUUCUGAUAUUGGGGGUUAUUAGUGAGGUCGCAUCAUCGGUCUUCAUAGGGACGGAUACCUCGCUUAAAUGACAAGAAGCAAUAAGACAACCUACGAUCCUGAGCCAUUUUCUCAAAUACAUAUUUCAGUGAAAGUUCUGUUUAUGUAAAAUAAAUAUUUAAAAUCG
This is a long non-coding RNA of Macrobrachium nipponense, 741 nucleotides long. RefSeq lists it as uncharacterized. The record is from RefSeq and is a predicted model, not a curated record. NCBI's taxonomy places the organism in Eukaryota, Metazoa, Arthropoda, Malacostraca, Decapoda, Palaemonidae. The transcript is spliced from 2 exons.